This 461-nucleotide ribosomal RNA is filed under the name Paracymus atomus. RNAcentral describes it as "partial 16S ribosomal RNA". The record is from RNAcentral. Lineage: Eukaryota; Metazoa; Arthropoda; Insecta; Coleoptera; Hydrophilidae.
ACUAUAAAUUUUAAUCCAACAUCGAGGUCGCAAACUUUUUUAUUGAUAAGAACUCUCCAAAAAAAUUACGCUGUUAUCCCUAAGGUAAUUUAAUCUUUAAAUCAAAAAAAUUGGAUCUAUUAAAUCAUAUAUAAAUGUAAAAAAUAAUAAAAGUUAAUUAAAUUUUUAUGUCACCCCAACCAAAUAAAUUCAUAUAUCUAUAAAAAUAAAUACUUCAAUAUAUAAAAAAAUAAAUUUAUUAAACUCUAUAGGGUCUUCUCGUCUUUAAAAAACAUUUAAGCUUUUUAACUUAAUAAUAAAAUUCUAAUUAAAUUAAAUUGAGACAGAAUUUUUCUCAUUCAACCUUUCAUACUAGUUCUUAAUUAAAAAACUAAUGAUUAUGCUACCUUUGCACAGUCAAAAUACCGCGGCCAUUUAAAAAUCAUUGGGCAGGUUAGACUUUAAAUCAAAAUCAAAAAGCC